GGGGAUUUGGCUCAGUGGUAGAGCGCUUACCUAGGAAGCACAAGGUCCUGGGUUCGGUCCCCAGCCCCA
Non-coding RNA from Rattus norvegicus (Norway rat), 69 nucleotides. Lineage: Eukaryota; Metazoa; Chordata; Mammalia; Rodentia; Muridae. The record is from Rfam.